Non-coding RNA from Pelodiscus sinensis (Chinese soft-shelled turtle), 1440 nucleotides. Lineage: Eukaryota; Metazoa; Chordata; Testudines; Trionychidae. The record is from RefSeq and is a predicted model, not a curated record.
GAGCACCAGUGGGGAGGGAGGAGCAGCAGCCGCUGCGGACUUGCCCACCCAGCAGGUGCAAGGGCGACGGGAGCCAGUCCGCCCUGCGCUCCCCCCAGCAAAUGUCUGGCUGCUCCAGCAGCACGUGGGGCCUGGUGGACCCUCCUCGGACCUGUUGCGUGUUGCCCACAGACACCAUGGAGAAGAAACUCCGUCCCUAGCGAGAGGGGGCUCCCCCCAGUGCCCUCUCUUUAUUUUACAAUUGGUGUGUGUUGCAUGCAACCUUUGCAGAUCCCUCAGCUGAUGGGGCUUGUUCUUCACGGGCGCAGGAAGCUCCUUUCUCUCGCCGAUUUCUCCCUCAGAGCAUCUUUCCUCGCCUGCCCUGUCUCCCUCCGCUCCUACCCCCCAAAUCUGGGCUAGUUGAACUUCUCAAAAACGUCCUCACUGCAACACCAGCAUCGCCAAAGGGGGGAUGAAUUGUUGACAGAAGGGGGGGACAAAUCUGGCCUUUGGAUCUGGAAUGUUUCCUCGGCUUAUGUCAAGCCCUAUGCUAAUGGAAGCAGGAAACGCCAAAAGAAAGACUGUAAAGUGAAAUACUGUCCCUUUGAUUCCCCAAUUCCUUCCCCAACAUAUCCCCGACUUCCUUAAGUCCUCUUCUAGGGACGCUCAUACAAAUUUCAUUCUUAAUUUACAGGACAGGAAAAGUCUGUUAGUUCCUCCAGACCAGUAGGUCUCACCUUAAGACUGUAAAUUUGUACAUUUCUGUGGAAACGUUAAGUCUUUCAUUGACAAUAUGUUGCUUUCUUUGGCCACAUUUGAGUCAGUUUUAGACUCAAAAAAAAGGGGGGAGGGGAGAAAAGAACGCCUUUCAGAGUAAAUACAAAUAUUGCGUUACCAUUUAGGGAUCGCAAUUUUAUCUAAGGUUAAAUCAGACUUUUUGUCUGAGUGAUAAUUAUAUAUUUAUUAUUUAGCUUAACUGAAACAGAGGUGGUUUUGACAGCAGAAGAAUAUUCUCAUUUUCCAAGAACAGUUCCCCCAUCAAAUAUGAAGUGUUUCAAUGUGUUUUGGAGUCCCCAUCCUACCUGCUUAGGUUAUUUUUGGAGCAACUGCAAUUCAAUUGCAAAUAAUGAAUAUAAAACAGAAAAAAAUUAGAGAAAAACCUUCCUCAAUUAGAGUUUUUUUCUUGUUGUUUGUUUUUGUUUUUUACUUUUGUAAUGUGUAUAUUUUGACUAAUGUUUGUGAAUGAAGCUGGCUAACAUGUAUUUAGUUUCGUUUUGGCUCUAUGUAAUAUAAAGCAAAAAGUUUAAGUAUCGGUUUUAACAUUUACAUGUAAAUGGGUUUUUUUGUGUGAUUUUCUAAUUUAAAAUUAGACGUCUAAACUAUAUCUGUAAAUUAGAAUCCGACUACCACUCUGUUCAUUUUUGAACAAAGAGUUUAAAUAAAGCCUGAAGCAGGGAAAAG